Molecule: transfer RNA, 854 nt
Filed under: Bradyrhizobium sp. 12LoS3_4
Lineage: Bacteria; Pseudomonadati; Pseudomonadota; Alphaproteobacteria; Hyphomicrobiales; Nitrobacteraceae
Also listed under: 1 other name
Description: 16S-23S ribosomal RNA intergenic spacer
Rfam family: tRNA (bases 188-261)
Source: RNAcentral
CUAAGGAUGGUUCUUCAGAAGCUUGCUUCUAUCGAACCGUUUUAGAAACAUCAGUGGCCAACAGAUCGCCAGAUCGUUGAGCUGCAUUGGCGGGAUUUCGCCGUCUACGUUUCUCUUUCUUCGCGGACGAACACGCGCUGGGGCUGCAAGCUUGCAGAUCCCUGGUCCUUAACAGGAUAUGCGUUAGGGGCUUGUAGCUCAGUUGGUUAGAGCGCGCGCUUGAUAAGCGUGAGGUCGGAAGUUCAAGUCUUCCCAGGCCCACCAGCCUUCGCGCUUCGCUGCUUCGGCUAGGCAAGCCCUUCGAGAAGAAGGCAGCCACGCCGUAGCCUUGGCGAAGGCGGGCUAUCAAACGGGCAUUCGUCUUCUGGUUACGGGGCCAUAGCUCAGCUGGGAGAGCGCGUGCUUUGCAAGCAUGAGGUCGUCGGUUCGAUCCCGUCUGGCUCCACCAGAUGGUUUGAUCACCGAGAUCCUGUACCGUCGUCCGCGAACAUCACUUCGCACUUACUAGUCUGGAUAGACAGUAAGCUGCGUGAUUUCUGACAUCGUAAAGAGGAGAUCGAUCCGAGUUGGAUCGUGCGGCAAGCAAUUGCCACGCGAGACUUCAUUAUCUCCGGAUCAUUUCGGCGCUCGUGCGUCUUUCGAAGGUAGCUCACAAGGCUGCGCUCGAGAGGCAAGCGAGUUGUAAAUGAUCCUUUUAGCGAAGCUUGACCGCCUCGCUAUCGGAACGAUCUUACGAAGCAAGCUGGUCUUUCUAGUCAAUGUCCGGCUGUACGUAGCGUUCAUCGAGGGCGCGUGCCGCAAGGCAAUCGUACAGACAACAUUCUGCCGAGUGUGUGGACAUUGAUAAUGAGAGC